AGGAGCUUGCUCCUGUUGGUUUUAGCGGCGGACGGGUGAGUAACACGUGGGCAACCUGCCCUGCAGAUCGGGAUAACUCCGGGAAACCGGUGCUAAUACCGAAUAGUUUGUCGCCUCUCCUGAGGCGAUACGGAAAGACGGUUUCGGCUGUCACUGCAGGAUGGGCCCGCGGCGCAUUAGCUAGUUGGUGGGGUAAUGGCCCACCAAGGCGACGAUGCGUAGCCGACCUGAGAGGGUGAUCGGCCACACUGGGACUGAGACACGGCCCAGACUCCUACGGGAGGCAGCAGUAAGGAAUCUUCCGCAAUGGACGCAAGUCUGACGGAGCAACGCCGCGUGAGUGACGAAGGUUUUCGGAUCGUAAAACUCUGUUGUGAGGGAAGAACAAGUGCCAACUAACUACUGGCACCUUGACGGUACCUCACCAGAAAGCCACGGCUAACUACGUGCCAGCAGCCGCGGUAAUACGUAGGUGGCAAGCGUUGUCCGGAAUUAUUGGGCGUAAAGCGCGCGCAGGCGGUCCUUUAAGUCUGAUGUGAAAGCCCACGGCUCAACCGUGGAGGGUCAUUGGAAACUGGAGGACUUGAGUGCAGAAGAGGAAAGUGGAAUUCCAUGUGUAGCGG
RNAcentral lists this ribosomal RNA (623 nucleotides) under bacterium 21-L049393-122-001-E03. RNAcentral's name for it is "bacterial SSU rRNA". It matches the Rfam family "Bacterial small subunit ribosomal RNA", at positions 74 to 681 of the family's 1533-position model. The record is from RNAcentral.